UUCGUAAUUAACCAAAAAGUCAUCCCAAACAUACAAAUUUUUUUUACCUACCUUUUUAGCCAAAUAGCAAAAAAGUUACUAAAUUAGCCGGUUCCCAAAUGAGGCCUUAAUUUCAUCUUUCAAGGUGAAUAUUUGAAUGCACGAACGUAUGCUUGCGUGUAGUAUACAAAAUGUUCAAAAUUGAUAUAUGAUAGAAAACCAGUACUCAAUCCAUACUACUAAGGUGAUUUAUUUCCAUCUUAUAUAUUCACAAAAUCUUGUAUAAAGUUUUUAUUACAGUAAUAAAAAUCUAUAUAACAAAACAAGGGUGUUGAUGGGAGAUUUGUUUUAGGUGGCAUACAAAUUAAUGGCUGAGAUUACACUUCUUACCAUGCAUUUCAAGGGCUGAGAUCACACUUCUCUUUUAUUUUUCUCUCUCUCUCAGGCUUUGUUUGUUCAGGUUUCAAAAUUCAAACAUUUCAAAAGUUUGAUACCAUUCUCUCUCUACCAAGCGUUCUCUUCCCCAUUCCACCCUCUCUCUCUCUCUCUAUCUAUCUCACAGUCAAACACACUCUUUGGUUCUCUCUCUCUUCUACCCGAUCUAUCCCCAUCGGAGCCCAUCCUAUGCGGAUAUCCAACCUCAACCCCCUAUUCAUUCUCGACUUUGCCCAUUGCAACCCCGACCAAAGGGUUCGAUUUUGCCCAUUACAAUAUGAAAUUGCCCGUUUCAAUCUGAAAUUGAAGGGUUCGAUUUUGCCCAUUGCAAUAUGAAAUUGCCCAUUUCAAUCGUUCAAAGUUGAGCGAAUCGUCUUCAAUCAAAUGGUGGGCUUUGCAAGUCGUCUUCAACCAAGUCAACUGAUUUCAAUUUCAGAUUUUCUUCAGUUUCAUAUUUCAGUAGGUCAGAUUUUCUUCCAACAAAACACUCUUUAAAACUUUCGAACACAACCUACUGUAUGAAUCUCUUCAUCUUCUAUGUUUUGUAGAUCACAAGAGAGAACCCAUUAUGUUAUGGAGGUAACUACUUUGUUAGAAUAUGAUUUAUUGAGUUCCAUUUAAUUGAAGUUUUGUGUUGUGGUUAUGAGUUGUGUUUCCACAUAAUGCGUUUAACCCGUGUGUUUCUAAUUUCUAUUUUUUUAACAUUUAUUAUCAGCAUUGUGUAUGUAUAUUGUUUUAAAUCUAUUGUUAAACUAACUUGCAGGUUGGAAUUUUGGAGAUUGUUGUAAAGCUAUUGGUGUUUCUAAUUUUUUUUUUUUUUUUUAACAUUUAUUAUCAACAUUGUGUAUGUAUAUUGUUUUAGAUCUAUUGUUAAGCUAACUUACAAGUUGGGAUUUUGGAGAUUGUUGUAGAGCUAUUGGUGUUUCUAAUUUUUUUUUUUUUUUUUAACAUUUAUUAUCAGCAUUGUGUAUGUAUAUUGUUUUAGAUCUAUUGUUAAACUAACUUGCAGGUUGGGGUUUUGCUAUUGAUAUAUCCUUGAGUUUAUAAUAAUUAUUUUUUCCAGUCAAGAUGUAGUGUUGAUAAUUGGCUUGGAUAUUGUGUUUUAUGUUGUAUUUAUUUUAAUUAUGGAAUUAGGAGUGUCACAGACCUUCAAUUAUGUUUCCAUCGUCUUCUUCCCUUUUUUCAGAUGCACACGUUUCUCUUCCUAAUCCUAGGUAUUAAUUUUUGCAUUGGAGAUUUUGUUUCCUUUUUUCAGUUGUCAUUUUGUGACUUUGAAGAUAUUCCAGCCGCAAAGUAUGGACAUCCAUGUUGAUGAUGAUGACCUAUGAAGGCCAUAUGAGCCUCGAUAGGGCUUUGUAAGGUUUAUCAGUUAAUUCAAACUUAAAAUAUUUGGUUUUUGUGUCACUUUUGCCACUAUUUUGUGUAUUUGUGUCAUUUUCUUUGAUCAUAAUAUAAAUAUUUAGGAAAAGAGAUUGUUCCUUAUUUCAUUUUGUUUGUUCUUUUUCUCUCCUUCAAUAAUGUCAUUGCCUAAUAAAAAGAGUAUCCAUUGUAAGGAAAGCAACCAUCUCAAUUGUUUUCUCUCUCCAUGCCUCUAUAUCUCCUCUAUAUGUGUCAAGGUAUGUCUCUAUAUCUACUUUCUUGACUAGCUUUCAUUUUUUGUUGUAUUGUGUGUCUAUUAUUUGUUACUUUUAGAUGCAUCACUGUGCAUAGUAGUAGCUUGGUCAGUUUCUUUCAAUCUGUUUUACAUUCAUUGUUGCUAGGGAGUUGAUGGGACAUUUGUCUAUGCGGCAUACAAAUCAAGGGCUGAGAUCACACAUCAAGGGCAUACAAAUCAAAGGCUGAGAUCGCAUUUCUCUCGCCCUCUAUUUUUCAGAUUUCAAAUUUCAAACAUAAUUCUUGAAGACUACCUCCCUCUCUCUCUCUCUCUCUCUCUCUCUCUUACACACACACACACACACAUGCACACACCCUUCACUCUCUUCCUCACAAACCUCAACCCCUCCUUGCGCAACUGUCACAGCCUCAUUCUAGCAGGCGAUUGAUGGAUGACGAGUGUUUAUUUCACUGAUUGAAGUUGUUAAAGGGAGCAUGGCGGACUAAGAACAGAUCAGAAUCUCGAGUCUCGGCAACAGAUGCGGAGAAUUUGUAAUGUCCCUUGGUUCUUCGGUCGUAGAAUGGUGAAGUUAUGUCAAAGGUAUGAAAAUUUGGUAUGGAUUUUUUCUAAAUCAAUUUUUAAAAUUUGCUUUCUUCUUGCUUAAAGAUUAACAUUUUUUGGUGUUUCUAAUAUAAUCACUAUUUGUAAGAAUAUUUUUUUACGUGAUUCAUGAUUUUUUGGAAUUUUUCUAAAUCUAUUUCUGAAAUUUGAUUUCUUCUUGCUAAAGGUCAACAAUUUUUGAGGUUUCUGAUAUAAUCACUAUUUGUAAGAAUAUUUUUUAUGUGAUUCAUUUUUUUUUCCUAUGUAUAUUUUUUUUAAUCAUUUGAAUACUCAUGAAAUCUGUUUGUAUAUUUGAGGUUCAUGUAAUUUUAAAAGCAUUAUAACAAGAAGAGGACUCAUAUGGCCAAAGUGAUUCACAAUCAUUUUAGUAACUCCUAUACUGUUGUUUAUCUCCUAACUACACUUUUUGUUAUUUCGGUCAAUAAUUCCCAAGCCUACUUCACAAUAUUUCCUGCACAUUUUCACAUUCAAAAGCUAUUGUUCAUGGUUUUCUAGAAUGGAAUCCCCUAGAUGAUCUUUUGCGUUAUUCUGCAGGAAAUAAAUGAAGUAAUUCUAAUUAUGCUUUUACGAGAUCAUCCAAAUAAUUGAAGGUAUUCAUUGACAUCUACUUUUCAUAUCAUGCUUAAUCAAUCAUUAUUUCUGUUGGUUGUUGAUUUUGAUGUUUUCGAUUUUUUAUUAGUUGAUGCGCUUUUAGAUUUCUUUAACACAUUUGCUGGUUUACUUUUGUUUUAUUGAAUUUCUAUCUUUAUGGAUUUGGUAAGUUGUUGGUGAGGCAGAGAGGGUGUGCGGUAGGGGAGGGAAAGACAAAGAAGGUGGUAGCAAUGCGAUAGGGGAAUAAAUUUGAAAAAACACCAAAUAUUUAGUUUUAGAGAAAAUUCUAUAUAACAAGGAAGGAUAGUAUUUGAUCCAAUGGCUAGGAUUGCUUCUCUCUUUCAUCCAUGGUCCAUUUCCAACAUUGAUUUUGAAAAUGUAUUUGUCUUGUGUGGCAAUUUGGAUGGUCUAGAUUAAUUUAAUCCAAUGGUCUAUUUUUUAACACUUCACCUAUCUCAGAUUCUAGGUAUCUCUCAAUCACUCCUCAGCUUUGCCCCUUCCUCCUAGUCAUUACCUCAUCAAAGUCUAAUUUUUGUUGUCUAGGUUUUCUAAUUUUUGCUUUCACUAUUUUUGUGCCUCUUUCAUUACAUAAUGAGCUUUUCCUUUUUUGGUUUUUUCCUUUUCCCAUUUUGCCAACUAACAGAUCUCUAAAAACAUUUCUAUCUUCAACUCAAGCUGUGAUGAGAUCCUUAGGUGCCUUUGUUUUCUAAUUUGAUUUUGAUUUGGUGUUUGUUUACAAUUCUAUUUUGGGUUUGUUUUUAAACAUCUGUAUUCCUAACAUUGUUGUUUAGAUCAUAUGAGAGCUCCUUUAUUCAGAUUUGUAUUUGUCUACUUGCUUUUCUUUUCUUUUUUUUAUUUAUUUAUUUUAUUCUUUGUUUUGGACUUUGUUGUUAACCAUUUAGAGUGGACUUUUUUGGGUGAAUAUUUAGAGUGAAUUUUGUUGCAUUAAUAUCCUUAAUUUGAUUUUCUUGAGAAAAUUGAAUCUUUGAGGACUGUUUGAGGAUUAACAAUGUAGAGUGAGGCUAACAGUGAGUUUAAGGAAUAUCAGAUGUUAAUAAUUUAUGCUUCAUUUUGGUUGGGGAGUGCCUUUAGGCACUGGUCAUUCGCUAGAUUAUUUUGAUAUAUUCUUCUUUUUGGUAAUAUCUUUUUCUCACAGAAAUGCUUAUUUUUCUUUCUUUUUUAUUUUUUAUUUUUUAUUUUUUGGUGAGAUGCUGAAUUUUUUAUUUUAUCACAAAAGUUUUUUUUUUUUUUAAUUUUAAAAGAGGUUCAACAACCUUCAAAGUGUUGACAUCGCAGGUUUUUUUAGUCCCAGGAUGGUUCUCGAAUAAAAUUCUUAUCAACUGGUAUGGUUAACAUUUAAAAUAUUAGUAUGAUUCAAGACUAUAAAACACUUAAUGCUUCAUAAUAUUAGUAUUGUUAAACUUUUAUUUGGUGUUAACUGUAGAUUGUGUUUUGUCAAGUUUAUAUGUGGAUCAUAAGCUGAUUUUUUGGCUUAAAAAUGUAUAGAAAGUAGAGAGGUGAUAUGACCCAAAUAAGCCAAUAAGUCAAUGUUUUGGUUGAUCUAAAUGUUUUGGCUUUUGUAGAUUUUGUGAAUGAUUUGAUUUUUUAGCUUUGUUAUCCCUUUGGGGGCUGAAUUUUGGUAUUAUUUGCAUCAUCUUGAUACUUUUUAAUAAUGUCUGCUUAUUUAUGAAGAAAAACAAAAUUGAUGCUAAAAUCUCCUCAUGUUCAAAUAAUUGAAUGCAACAUUGUGGUAUUUUCUUAAUUCCGACACUGAUACAUACUUAGCAAUGUAGUAAUAGGUGUAAUAUCAGUUUUGCCAUGGACUACUAGAUUUGUCAUGUUCACCAAAAACAAAGAAUAUAAAGUGUUGACAUCACAGUUUUUUUAGUCCCAAGAUGGUUGUUGAAUAAAAUUCUUAUCAACUGGGUAUGGUUCCUGAAGCAUUUUUAUUUAUUUAACAAUUAAAAUAUUAGUAUGUUUCAAGACUACAAAGCAUUUGAUACUUCAUAAUAUUAGUAUUGUUGUUACACUUUUAUUUGAUGUUACCAGUAGGUUGUGUUGUGUCAAGUUUCUAUUGUUGUGCUUCUAAUUAUGUUGAAAGCUCCUCAUGUUUGAAUAAUUGAAUGCAACAUUGUGGUCUUUUCUUAAUUCCGACAUUGAUGCAUACUUAGGAAUGUAGUAAUAGGUGUAAUAUCAGUUUUGCCAUGGACUACUAGAUUUGUUACAUUCAUCAAAAACAAAGAAUUUAAAUUUGUUCCUGCAUGCAUGAUUUUUUUUUGGUUUGCAUAUUCCGGUUUUUUCUUCCAAUGAAAAGCUGGAUAAGUGAAUAUU
Molecule: non-coding RNA, 5551 nt
Organism: Camellia sinensis
Lineage: Eukaryota; Viridiplantae; Streptophyta; Magnoliopsida; Ericales; Theaceae
Source: RefSeq, a predicted model, not a curated record